UGGGGAAUAUUGCACAAUGGGGGAAACCCUGAUGCAGCGACGCCGCGUGAACGAAGAAGGUAUUCGUAUCGUAAAGUUCUGUCCUAUGGGAAGAUAAUGACAGUACCAUAGAAGAAAGCUCCGGCUAAAUACGUGCCAGCAGCCGCGGUAAUACGUAUGGAGCGAGCGUUGUCCGGAAUUAUUGGGCGUAAAGGGUACGCAGGCGGUUUAAUAAGUCGAAUGUUAAAGAUCGGGGCUCAACCCCGUAAAGCAUUGGAAACUGAUAAACUUGAGUAGUGGAAAGGAAAGUGGAAUUCCUAGUGUAGUGGUGAAAUACGUAGAUAUUAGGAGGAAUACCAGUAGCGAAGGCGACUUUCUGGACACAAACUGACGCUGAGGUACGAAAGCGUGGGGAGCAAACAGG
Molecule: ribosomal RNA, 403 nt
Filed under: bacterium
Lineage: Bacteria
Description: partial 16S ribosomal RNA
Rfam family: Bacterial small subunit ribosomal RNA
Source: RNAcentral